Molecule: long non-coding RNA, 482 nt
Filed under: Phoenix dactylifera (date palm)
Lineage: Eukaryota; Viridiplantae; Streptophyta; Magnoliopsida; Arecales; Arecaceae
Description: long non-coding RNA (PDAC_LNC012978)
Source: RNAcentral
ACUUGAGUUCGAUAGUGAAAAACUCUUUCUCCACUUUAUAUUUCUGCCCUGGCCAAGGUCUUAGAACUCAGUCUAACAAAUCACAUAGGAUCACUCCUCUUCUAUCAAGGUCGAUAGAUUCCAUGUAAGUGCAUACCCUACUCCUACAGUGAACUUACUGCAGCCAAUCUACACUACAAGGACCCAUAUGGCUAGAGACCAUGUAUACGUGUAGUCAAACUACAAUAACCUCACUGUGAGUAGCCGAAGCACCGCAGGUCAAAGGACCAGUCAUACUACUGCAACAUCAAGCAAGUCACUGACGAGUGGAUAGACAUCCAAGUGACUUCUUGUCUUGGUCACGCUCAGUACCCUUGUUCUCUAACAAGCACCUGCACUAUCACUUCAGUGUCCCUACACUGUGGACUCGAGUCUCGUCCAUCCAGAAGAAAAGUGAUCUGUGCACUGAUCGGAUCGGUCACCGUCCUCGUGAUGAUCCAUUG